Molecule: ribosomal RNA, 253 nt
Filed under: uncultured bacterium
Lineage: Bacteria
Description: partial 16S ribosomal RNA
Rfam family: Bacterial small subunit ribosomal RNA
Source: RNAcentral
UACGGAGGGGGCUAGCGUUGUUCGGAAUUACUGGGCGUAAAGCGCACGUAGGCGGACGCUUAAGUCAGGGGUGAAAUCCCGGGGCUCAACCCCGGAACUGCCUUUGAUACUGGGUGUCUGGAGGUCGAGAGAGGUGAGUGGAAUUCCGAGUGUAGAGGUGAAAUUCGUAGAUAUUCGGAGGAACACCAGUGGCGAAGGCGGCUCACUGGCUCGAUACUGACGCUGAGGCGCGAAAGCCAGGGGAGCAAACGGG